GAUGAACGCUGGCGGCGUGCUUAACACAUGCAAGUCGAACGGGAAACCUUUUAAUGAAGCUUCGGCAGAUUUAGCUGGUUUCUAGUGGCGGACGGGUGAGUAACGCGUGGGUAACCUGCCUUAUAUAGGGGGAUAACAGUCAGAAAUGACUGCUAAUACCGCAUAAGCGCACAGGACCGCAUGGUCCGGUGUGAAAAACUCCGGUGGUAUAAGAUGGACCCGCGUUGGAUUAGCUUGUUGGUGGGGUAACGGCUCACCAAGGCGACGAUCCAUAGCCGGCCUGAGAGGGUGAACGGCCACAUUGGGACUGAGACACGGCCCAGACUCCUACGGGAGGCAGCAGUGGGGAAUAUUGCACAAUGGGGGAAACCCUGAUGCAGCGACGCCGCGUGAAGGAAGAAGUAUCUCGGUAUGUAAACUUCUAUCAGCAGGGAAGAUAGUGACGGUACCUGACUAAGAAGCCCCGGCUAACUACGUG
Molecule: ribosomal RNA, 478 nt
Filed under: uncultured bacterium
Lineage: Bacteria
Description: partial 16S ribosomal RNA
Rfam family: Bacterial small subunit ribosomal RNA
Source: RNAcentral